CCCUUAGAUGUUCUGGGCCGCACGCGCGCUACACUGACAGAGCCAACGAGUCAAUCACCUUGGCCGGAAGGUCUGGGUAAUCUUGUUAAACUCUGUCGUGCUGGGGAUAGAGCAUUGCAAUUAUUGCUCUUCAACGAGGAAUGCCUAGUAAGCGCAUGUCAUCAGCAUGCGUUGAUUACGUCCCUGCCCUUUGUACACACCGCCCGUCGCUACUACCGAUUGAAUGGCUCGGUGAGGCCUUCGGACUGGCCCAGGGAGGUCGGCAACGACCACCCAGGGCCGGAAAGUUCGUCAAACCUGGUCAUUUAGAGGAAGUAAAAGUCGUAACA
Molecule: ribosomal RNA, 329 nt
Filed under: uncultured eukaryote
Lineage: Eukaryota
Description: partial 18S ribosomal RNA
Rfam family: Eukaryotic small subunit ribosomal RNA
Source: RNAcentral